UCUGUUAAGUUAUGCGCAACAUUAUGAUCUUCUGACCGUAAACGUAUUCUUAGGCCACAUUCGAUUUGUUUUCAAAAAUCACGUAUUAGGCGGUAUCGAAAUAUAUUUAUCUUGGUGCUUUGGUGUUGGUAUUCUGGGUUUCUAAGCAAAUGACAAGAGGUAAUCAAAGAGAUCUUGCUCGUGCUAAAAAUUUAAAGAAACAACAAGAACUUCAAAAGGCUCAGGCAAUGAAAGAUUAUCCGAAAAGAAAGGAAAGAGAUUCAGAUAUUAUGCGUCAAAAGCAAAAGAUGGCCGAGGAAAAAAAGAUGGCUGAAGCUGGAGGGGGUGACCAAAAAAGCAAGUAGAGUUUAAAGUUUGAAUCUGCAAGAUAUGUUGAUAUAAGCGAAUUAAUUAAAGAAGUUUUUCUUUUCAAAAGAAAUGGCGUAUUGUUAUAAAUUUUUAGUAAAUUUAUGUUAAAUAUUUGUAUUUACUUAAUAAGAUUGGAGUAAGCAAGUCUUUUUUAAAAAGAAAGUUGUGAUGACAAUGA
Hydra vulgaris (swiftwater hydra) is the source of this 526-nucleotide long non-coding RNA. RefSeq lists it as uncharacterized. NCBI's taxonomy places the organism in Eukaryota, Metazoa, Cnidaria, Hydrozoa, Anthoathecata, Hydridae. The record is from RefSeq and is a predicted model, not a curated record.